AGUUUCUUUUUGUGUUCUUUGUGGUUAUAAACGGGAUUGUUAUCUGUCUCUCCUUUUUAUGCUCCAUAUUUCAUACAGCUUUAAUGAAACCAAUCAAUGUUCUUAUCAUUUUCUUUCCUAAUUCGUGGAAUCGUGUGUAUUUCAUAUAACACAGCAUGCAGCUAUCAUGCAUAGUUUUGUGUGUUGAAUUGAUGAUAAUUGUGGAAUUAACAUACUAAAAUGUAGCUCUGAACAAGAAUGCAACUCUUUCAUCGACUGCAAAAGAUACAAGUGGUGUAAAGGUGGCUAGAUAUGCCGUGGACGGAGAUACAUAUACUGAGGCCAAGACAAUGGCUGACAACAACCCAACACUGAUAAUUAACUUAGAAGAAACAACUACAAUCAAAUACAUGGAGAUUCAUUUACUUUUAGAAGAAUCGAGUUCGUACAACGUCUUUGUGAUCAAUGCAUCUAGACGAGAGUGCACACAAAACACCCUUUGUUCCAACAUCGCAAACCCCCCAACAAUGUACCAUGUUUGGAAAAUCACAUGUACUAGAAAUCGUUCCCUGACUGGAAAUCAGGUCAUCAUUGAAAGACAGACGGAAAAGGGGGCGUUAUCCAUUUUCGAAGUUUUU
Molecule: long non-coding RNA, 617 nt
Organism: Saccostrea cuccullata (small rock oyster)
Lineage: Eukaryota; Metazoa; Mollusca; Bivalvia; Ostreida; Ostreidae
Exons: 3
Source: RefSeq, a predicted model, not a curated record